RNAcentral lists this ribosomal RNA (464 nucleotides) under Entyloma dahliae. RNAcentral describes it as "LSU rRNA". It matches the Rfam family "Eukaryotic large subunit ribosomal RNA", at positions 110 to 577 of the family's 3401-position model. The record is from RNAcentral. Lineage: Eukaryota; Fungi; Basidiomycota; Exobasidiomycetes; Entylomatales; Entylomataceae. RNAcentral also lists the same sequence under 1 other name.
CAAAUUUGAAAGCUGGCGUCUUCGGCGUCCGCAUUGUAAUCUCGAGAAGUGUUUUCCGCGUUGGACCAUGUACAAGUUCCUUGGAACAGGACGUCAUAGAGGGUGAGAAUCCCGUACUUGACAUGGAUGCCCAACGCUUUGUGAUACGCUCUCCACGAGUCGAGUUGUUUGGGAAUGCAGCUCAAAAUGGGUGGUAAAUUCCAUCUAAAGCUAAAUAUUGGGGAGAGACCGAUAGCGAACAAGUACCGUGAGGGAAAGAUGAAAAGCACUUUGGAAAGAGAGUUAAACAGUACGUGAAAUUGUUGAAAGGGAAGCGCUUGAAGUCAGACAUGCUGCUGAGACUCAACCUUGGUUUUCCUUGGUGUACUUCUCAGUUGGCAGGCCAGCAUCAGUUUUGGCUGUUGGAUAAGGGUAGGAGGAAUGUGGCAUCCUCGGAUGUGUUAUAGCCUCUUACUGGAUACAAC